AAAAAAGGUAAGCUACUAAGAGCGAAUGGUGGAUGCCUUGACUGGUAAAGGCGAUGAAGGACGUACUAGACUGCGAUAAGCUACGGGGAGCUGUCAAGAAGCUUUGAUCCGUAGAUUUCCGAAUGGGGCAACCCAAUGUAUAGAGAUAUACAUUACCUAUAUAGGAGCGAACGAGGGGAAUUGAAACAUCUUAGUACCCUCAGGAAAAGAAAUCAAUAGAGAUUGCGUCAGUAGCGGCGAGCGAAAGCGUAAGAGGGCAAACCCAGUGCUUGCACUGGGGGUUGUAGGACUGCAAUGUGCAAGAGGUGAGUUUAGCAGAACAUUCUGGAAAGUAUAGCCAUAGAGGGUGAUAGUCCCGUAUGCGAAAAACAAACCUUAGCUAGCAGUAUCCUGAGUAGGGCGGGACACGAGAAAUCCUGUCUGAAGCUGGGUCGACCACGAUCCAACCCUAAAUACUAAUACCAGAUCGAUAGUGCACAAGUACCGUGAGGGAAAGGUGAAAAGAACUGAGGUGAUCAGAGUGAAAUAGAACCUGAAACCAUUUGCUUACAAUCAUUCAGAGCCCUAUGUAGCAAUACAGGGUGAUGGACUGCCUUUUGCAUAAUGAGCCUGCGAGUUGUGGUGUCUGGCAAGGUUAAGCAAACGCGAAGCCGUAGCGAAAGCGAGUCUGAAUAGGGCGCUUAGUCAGAUGCUGCAGACCCGAAACGAAGUGAUCUAUCCAUGAGCAAGUUGAAGCUAGUGUAAGAACUAGUGGAGGACUGAACCCAUAGGCGUUGAAAAGCCCCGGGAUGACUUGUGGAUAGGGGUGAAAGGCCAAUCAAACUUCGUGAUAGCUGGUUCUCUCCGAAAUAUAUUUAGGUAUAGCGUUGUGUCGUAAUAUAAGGGGGUAGAGCACUGAAUGGGCUAGGGCAUACACCAAUGUACCAAACCCUAUCAAACUCCGAAUACCUUAUAUGUAAUCACAGCAGUCAGGCGGCGAGUGAUAAAAUCCGUCGUCAAGAGGGAAACAACCCAGACUACCAGCUAAGGUCCCUAAAUCUUACUUAAGUGGAAAACGAUGUGAAGUUACUUAAACAACCAGGAGGUUGGCUUAGAAGCAGCCAUCCUUUAAAGAAAGCGUAAUAGCUCACUGGUCUAGUGAUUUUGCGCGGAAAAUAUAACGGGGCUAAAGUAAGUACCGAAGCUGUAGACUUGAUUUUAUCAAGUGG
RNAcentral lists this ribosomal RNA (1208 nucleotides) under Campylobacter coli. Its description in RNAcentral is "partial 23S ribosomal RNA". It matches the Rfam family "Bacterial large subunit ribosomal RNA", at positions 1 to 1228 of the family's 2925-position model. Lineage: Bacteria; Pseudomonadati; Campylobacterota; Epsilonproteobacteria; Campylobacterales; Campylobacteraceae. The record is from RNAcentral.